Molecule: ribosomal RNA, 451 nt
Filed under: uncultured bacterium
Lineage: Bacteria
Description: bacterial SSU rRNA
Rfam family: Bacterial small subunit ribosomal RNA
Source: RNAcentral
UACGGAAGGCAGCAGUGGGGAAUAUUGCACAAUGGGCGCAAGCCUGAUGCAGCCAUGCCGCGUGUAUGAAGAAGGCCUUCGGGUUGUAAAGUACUUUCAGUCGUGAGGAAGGUGUUAAGGUUAAUAACCUUAGCAAUUGACGUUAGCGACAGAAGAAGCACCGGCUAACUCCGUGCCAGCAGCCGCGGUAAUACGGAGGGUGCGAGCGUUAAUCGGAAUUACUGGGCGUAAAGGGCACGCAGGCGGUUAAUUAAGUUGGAUGUGAAAUCCCCGGGCUUAACCUGGGAAUGGCAUUCAAGACUGGUUAGCUAGAGUCUUGUAGAGGGGGUAGAAUUCCAUGUGUAGCGGUGAAAUGCGUAGAGAUGUGGAGGAAUACCGGUGGCGAAGGCGGCCCCUGGGACAAAGACUGACGCUCAUGUGCGAAAGCGUGGGGAGCAAACAGGAUUAGAUA